RNAcentral lists this ribosomal RNA (273 nucleotides) under uncultured bacterium. RNAcentral describes it as "partial 16S ribosomal RNA". It matches the Rfam family "Bacterial small subunit ribosomal RNA", at positions 524 to 796 of the family's 1533-position model. The record is from RNAcentral.
UACGGAGGGUGCAAGCGUUACUCGGAAUCACUGGGCGUACAGCGCGCGCAGGCGGUCUUUUAAGUUGGAUGUGAAAGCCUACGGCUCAACCGUAGAACUGCAUCCAAAACUAUUAGACUAGAGUGUGGGAGAGGAAGAUGGAAUUAGUUGUGUAGGGGUAAAAUCCGUAGAGAUAACUAGGAAUACCAAAAGCGAAGGCAAUCUUCUGGAACACUACUGACGCUGAGGCGCGAAAGCGUGGGGAGCAAACAGGAGUAGAAACCCUAGUAGUCC